GGAGCCCAAUGCGUGGCUUGAACUCACGACCCUGAGAUCAAGACCGGAGCUGAGAUCAAGAGUCAGACGGUUAACCGACUGAGCCACCCAGGCCUCCCCCCCCCCCUCCAUGUGAGACCUUUUGAGUCUGGCUUCCUCCACUUAGAGAAACGCAUUUGAGACACGCCCACGUUGCUAAUCUCUGUUACCAAUUCUCAAGGCGACCUAUUGUAUAUUCUUCCCUCCUUUGUCCUAACAUUUUCAGAAGUCGCUUUCUUUAUUUUUCUGGGCAACCUGUGAAGUGCUGACACACAAAUUUCUCUGUUUCACGGAGACAGGAUUGGAUUCAGACCGGUUUUCUAAAGACAUAAGAGAGGAUUAAGAGACGUUUCGACACCUACCGAAGGGUUUUGGGAAGAACGGAGACUCCACCCUGAGUGAACCAAAAGUUGACGCUUGACCAGAAAAACUAAAAGAUAAGUAGCAAGCCAAAAAAACGAUACUGGAGGCUGACGAAAGCUAAGAGAUGUCAAGCAGAAAAGAAUGAGAUAAGUUAAAAUCAGUAAUUACUUGAAUUUAUGAAAAACUUGACGGCCAUACUACCACUUUGUGUACAAG
RNAcentral lists this long non-coding RNA (597 nucleotides) under Felis catus (domestic cat). RNAcentral describes it as "lncRNA (ENSFCAG00000049942.1)". The record is from RNAcentral. Lineage: Eukaryota; Metazoa; Chordata; Mammalia; Carnivora; Felidae.